RNAcentral lists this ribosomal RNA (2847 nucleotides) under Shigella flexneri. RNAcentral's name for it is "partial 23S ribosomal RNA". It matches the Rfam family "Bacterial large subunit ribosomal RNA". Lineage: Bacteria; Pseudomonadati; Pseudomonadota; Gammaproteobacteria; Enterobacterales; Enterobacteriaceae. The record is from RNAcentral.
GGGUUGUGAGGUUAAGCGACUAAGCGUACACGGUGGAUGCCCUGGCAGUCAGAGGCGAUGAAGGACGUGCUAAUCUGCGAUAAGCGUCGGUAAGGUGAUAUGAACCGUUAUAACCGGCGAUUUCCGAAUGGGGAAACCCAGUGUGAUUCGUCACACUAUCAUUAACUGAAUCCAUAGGUUAAUGAGGCGAACCGGGGGAACUGAAACAUCUAAGUACCCCGAGGAAAAGAAAUCAACCGAGAUUCCCCCAGUAGCGGCGAGCGAACGGGGAGCAGCCCAGAGCCUGAAUCAGUGUGUGUGUUAGUGGAAGCGUCUGGAAAGGCGUGCGAUACAGGGUGACAGCCCCGUACACAAAAAUGCACAUACUGUGAGCUCGAUGAGUAGGGCGGGACACGUGGUAUCCUGUCUGAAUAUGGGGGGACCAUCCUCCAAGGCUAAAUACUCCUGACUGACCGAUAGUGAACCAGUACCGUGAGGGAAAGGCGAAAAGAACCCCGGCGAGGGGAGUGAAAAAGAACCUGAAACCGUGUACGUACAAGCAGUGGGAGCACGCUUAGGCGUGUGACUGCGUACCUUUUGUAUAAUGGGUCAGCGACUUAUAUUCUGUAGCAAGGUUAACCGAAUAGGGGAGCCGAAGGGAAACCGAGUCUUAACUGGGCGUUAAGUUGCAGGGUAUAGACCCGAAACCCGGUGAUCUAGCCAUGGGCAGGUUGAAGGUUGGGUAACACUAACUGGAGGACCGAACCGACUAAUGUUGAAAAAUUAGCGGAUGACUUGUGGCUGGGGGUGAAAGGCCAAUCAAACCGGGAGAUAGCUGGUUCUCCCCGAAAGCUAUUUAGGUAGCGCCUCGUGAAUUCAUCUCCGGGGGUAGAGCACUGUUUCGGCAAGGGGGUCAUCCCGACUUACCAACCCGAUGCAAACUGCGAAUACCGGAGAAUGUUAUCACGGGAGACACACGGCGGGUGCUAACGUCCGUCGUGAAGAGGGAAACAACCCAGACCGCCAGCUAAGGUCCCAAAGUCAUGGUUAAGUGGGAAACGAUGUGGGAAGGCCCAGACAGCCAGGAUGUUGGCUUAGAAGCAGCCAUCAUUUAAAGAAAGCGUAAUAGCUCACUGGUCGAGUCGGCCUGCGCGGAAGAUGUAACGGGGCUAAACCAUGCACCGAAGCUGCGGCAGCGACGCUUAUGCGUUGUUGGGUAGGGGAGCGUUCUGUAAGCCUGUGAAGGUGUGCUGUGAGGUAUGCUGGAGGUAUCAGAAGUGCGAAUGCUGACAUAAGUAACGAUAAAGCGGGUGAAAAGCCCGCUCGCCGGAAGACCAAGGGUUCCUGUCCAACGUUAAUCGGGGCAGGGUGAGUCGACCCCUAAGGCGAGGCCGAAAGGCGUAGUCGAUGGGAAACAGGUUAAUAUUCCUGUACUUGGUGUUACUGCGAAGGGGGGACGGAGAAGGCUAUGUUGGCCGGGCGACGGUUGUCCCGGUUUAAGCGUGUAGGCUGGUUUUCCAGGCAAAUCCGGAAAAUCAAGGCCGAGGCGUGAUGACGAGGCACUACGGUGCUGAAGCAACAAAUGCCCUGCUUCCAGGAAAAGCCUCUAAGCAUCAGGUAACAUCAAAUCGUACCCCAAACCGACACAGGUGGUCAGGUAGAGAAUACCAAGGCGCUUGAGAGAACUCGGGUGAAGGAACUAGGCAAAAUGGUGCCGUAACUUCGGGAGAAGGCACGCUGAUACGUAGGUGAAGCGACUUGCUCGUGGAGCUGAAAUCAGUCGAAGAUACCAGCUGGCUGCAACUGUUUAUUAAAAACACAGCACUGUGCAAACACGAAAGUGGACGUAUACGGUGUGACGCCUGCCCGGUGCCGGAAGGUUAAUUGAUGGGGUUAGCGCAAGCGAAGCUCUUGAUCGAAGCCCCGGUAAACGGCGGCCGUAACUAUAACGGUCCUAAGGUAGCGAAAUUCCUUGUCGGGUAAGUUCCGACCUGCACGAAUGGCGUAAUGAUGGCCAGGCUGUCUCCACCCGAGACUCAGUGAAAUUGAACUCGCUGUGAAGAUGCAGUGUACCCGCGGCAAGACGGAAAGACCCCGUGAACCUUUACUAUAGCUUGACACUGAACAUUGAGCCUUGAUGUGUAGGAUAGGUGGGAGGCUUUGAAGUGUGGACGCCAGUCUGCAUGGAGCCGACCUUGAAAUACCACCCUUUAAUGUUUGAUGUUCUAACGUGGACCCGUGAUCCGGGUUGCGGACAGUGUCUGGUGGGUAGUUUGACUGGGGCGGUCUCCUCCUAAAGAGUAACGGAGGAGCACGAAGGUUGGCUAAUCCUGGUCGGACAUCAGGAGGUUAGUGCAAUGGCAUAAGCCAGCUUGACUGCGAGCGUGACGGCGCGAGCAGGUGCGAAAGCAGGUCAUAGUGAUCCGGUGGUUCUGAAUGGAAGGGCCAUCGCUCAACGGAUAAAAGGUACUCCGGGGAUAACAGGCUGAUACCGCCCAAGAGUUCAUAUCGACGGCGGUGUUUGGCACCUCGAUGUCGGCUCAUCACAUCCUGGGGCUGAAGUAGGUCCCAAGGGUAUGGCUGUUCGCCAUUUAAAGUGGUACGCGAGCUGGGUUUAGAACGUCGUGAGACAGUUCGGUCCCUAUCUGCCGUGGGCGCUGGAGAACUGAGGGGGGCUGCUCCUAGUACGAGAGGACCGGAGUGGACGCAUCACUGGUGUUCGGGUUGUCAUGCCAAUGGCACUGCCCGGUAGCUAAAUGCGGAAGAGAUAAGUGCUGAAAGCAUCUAAGCACGAAACUUGCCCCGAGAUGAGUUCUCCCUGACCCUUUAAGGGUCCUGAAGGAACGUUGAAGACGACGACGUUGAUAG